Molecule: ribosomal RNA, 465 nt
Filed under: uncultured bacterium
Lineage: Bacteria
Description: partial 16S ribosomal RNA
Rfam family: Bacterial small subunit ribosomal RNA
Source: RNAcentral
GACGAACGCUGGCGGCGUGCUUAACACAUGCAAGUCGAACGGAAAGGCCCUGCUUGCAGGGUACUCGAGUGGCGAACGGGUGAGUAACACGUGGGUGAUCUGCCCUGCACUUCGGGAUAAGCCUGGGAAACUGGGUCUAAUACCGGAUAGGAGCCAUUUUUAGUGUGAUGGUUGGAAAGUUUUUUCGGUGUAGGAUGAGCUCGCGGCCUAUCAGCUUGUUGGUGGGGUAAUGGCCUACCAAGGCGGCGACGGGUAGCCGGCCUGAGAGGGUGGACGGCCACAUUGGGACUGAGAUACGGCCCAGACUCCUACGGGAGGCAGCAGUGGGGAAUGUUGCACCAUGGGCGCCAGCCUGAUGCAGCGACGCCGCGUGGGGGAUGACGGCCUUCGGGUUGUAAGCUCCUUUCGCUAGGGACGAAGCUUUUUGUGACGGUACCUAGAUAAGAAGCACCGGCUAACUACGUG